CUCGACCGUCAUCGAAUAUGGACACCAGACGGAAAAUCCUUCAGCCGGAAUUCUUCGAUCGACUCCCUUUCCUCCUUCUCUUUCGUGAGCGACGAACGAGCUACCACGACCACGGCCGUUCUCAGAGUUGAAUCCUAGUUUAUAUCUUGCGAUAUAAAGUGGCCAACCCAAGGAUGAGUGGACUUCUGACUCGGCGAAUAUCCAUUGUCCGUGCUGUUAGAAUUUCGCCAUUGUUCAGGCUGACGCGAACAGAAGGAUUCUCCAGGUAAGGGAAAUAGCACGUAUAUUUGGAACUGUCUACUGCUGGUCCACGUGGAUCACGAGCCAUCUCCACGUGCACAAGCACAAGCGAGAGCAUAGCGUAGAUUCUACUCGAGGAUUGAGGAUUACAUUGUUGGCUUCUCACUCUACGUGAAAGUGUGUCUGAUACACACUAGCCCCCUAUGCUUGGGCUUGACUGAAAGAAGAAAAAACAGGGAAAAAGAGAGAAAGAGAGACUGGACUGUGUUACGUGACCAGCAAACCAAUGCAACUAUCUCGUUUCUUCUUCUUUCAAAAAAGAAAAAAAAAGGAAAAAGGAAUCUUUCCCCUUUUAUUUCGCACCCCCUUUUCUUCAUCCUUUAUUCCCUUUUAUCUUUCUUUAUGCAGUCUAUUGAACCUUAACAUCCACCCUUAUUUAAUCAUUGAGAUGUUUCCGAAAAUUUUUAUGGUUAAUAAUUUCUUUCUUAAGUUCAUUAAACAUGUCGUUUUUAUAUGAUAUAUUACAAAUCGAUUUAUUCUAUCGUCGGACAGACAAGUCAAAAUGCGACUUACCACCCAGCAGAAAAAGACCACAGGCUACCAAUGUUCUAUGAUCCGAGUAACAAUGGCCGAUCAGUGCGAAGAUAGUACCAGCGAGAAUCAAGACAACGGCGAUCACUUGAAACGGUGCCGAGAUCCUGAAACAUAUAUAUCAUGCUAAUGUGAAAAAGAGAGAAGGAGUUUCAGAAACUUAAUGAACUGGCAUUAUAACUCAUAAAUAUUGGGAAGUAUAUCGUUUUGAAGGGGAUAGUUCAAGGUAUAUUUCAGUGCAAUGGUAAAAUUCAAGUUGAACUGCAUUGACUUAAAUAAUAUCACGUUUUAUAGCAGAUAUAUGUAAAUAUAUCAACGUAAGUAUACAAAAUCUCUUUUUUUUAAGUUAUAUCUAUUUUCAAUAUUUCUAACUGAUAAAUUAUUUUCGAUUCGUAAAUUGUAUUAAUCGACGUAUUAUUUUCUAAUUUAUUUCGAGUUAAAUUAAGAAAGAUUAUUUUUGAACAUCAUAUUUCGAAUACCUUUGAGAGAGAAGCAAAUCAUGAAAGUUUGAUCCAUUUCGCGACUAUAACUAAAACAACGUCCACGGAGAAUGUAUCGGUUACAAGCUAGAGAAGUUGCUUGUUGGAACUAUCCGAGAUCGUAAAUACCGAAGUCUGCAUAGUACAUAUACGUAUAUAGAAUAUGUAUAUGUACCUAUAUAUGUACGUAUGGAACAAUUAUCUAUGUAAAACGAACGGUGACAAUAGCCAACGUGGAUACAUAGUGAAUGUACGAUUGCUCGAGAAAGGUACGUAACGUCCAAGCCUAUGAUGGUCAUUGUUAAACUGUCCACGUUCUACCUGCCUUAUAUGUUGGCAAGUAGAGGCAGACGCCACUCUGUAUCACUGCGGAUCCACGCAAAUGUAGCCACGGCAAGAAUUAUGCGCGUAAUCAGUGCCUCUUACCCAUAAUCUAUGACGCCGUUAUUAUUUAUUCGGUUAAUCAUUAUACUCAUGCGAAUUACUCGGAACUGGAGAAUAUUGCACGUUGGAUUUCGAUUACACGAGGGAGAUAUAUGCGGUAAAAUUUGUUAAAACGUACAUAUGUAAGUAGGGAAUUACAGAGAUAGAUAAAGCGAUCAUUAAUUAGAUCUAAUAAGAGAAAUGAUAAAAAUAAUUAGAUGAAACGUCUUCAUUUUCAUAGAUCGAACAACAUUCAAAUCAAUGAAAUCAAAGAAAGUACCACUUGAACUUUUAUUAAUUUCUAUUUUUUACAAAUUCGAAUGGAUUUUUGAAUUUAUUCGAACCAGAUACAUAUCACCUAAAUGUGAAUUUAACCUACUGAAGUUUUUAUUUACCAAGCGAAAUCUAACUUAUUAUUUUUUCACACGCCUCGUUAAUGCGUUUCCCUUCUCCGUCGCAAUCCCUCGAACAAUAUCUUCUCGUGUCAUUUAUCAAGAUUUAUAAAAUUAAAACAAGCGAAGAAAAAUGUUUAAAGUUAUCGAAAUCGAUGAACUGACUGACUGAAUUUCUGUAAAUUAUAGUCCUUUACAAAAGUUGUAUAACCUUCAUCGUUUUAGUUCAAUAGAAAAGAAAGAACUAAAUUUUGAUGAUCAUCAGCUGAAUAGACUCUCUCGAUACGGACAAUCUUUGUGACGAAAGAAUACGUACUCUAAAAAUGCACCCUCUGAAAACAAGUUGGUCGUUAUACAUAUCUCGGAGGCUUGUUACCUUAAGGGUGGAAUAUCUAGUGUAUUGUCGAAGGCGAGUAUUGAAAAACGGUGUGAGUGUUGUUGGCCAUGUGGGUGACAGAAAGAGAGAGAACGAGAGAAAAUGAGAGGGAAAGAGGGAGAGAGAGAGAGAGAGAGAGAGAGAGAGAGAGAGAGAGAGAGAGAGAGAGAGAGAGUAGAGAAGCUCGAACCCGUUGUGUAAUAGGUACAUGUAUUCGUACGUAUCGGGGUAAAUGGAGCGUGCUAGGUAACGGUGCGUCUCUCAGCUCGCCUCAGCAACCCCUGCUUCUUCGUCCUACUCUUCCUCAGCUACCCUCUUCUCUCACCCCAUCUCCACUCAUCCUAUUUGAUAAACCACCGCGAUGACGUUUAGGUUUUGAUCUCUACGACAAUUUCACGGUAUAUAAGCAUUCUUGCUUUUUAUUUAAAAGUUCUAUAUAUAUAUUUGUAUAUAAUUAUAUAACAUAUAUAUGUACAUACAUACAUACAUAUAUAUAUAUAUAUAUAUAUAUACAUGAAUAUACAUGUACAUAUAUCUACUUCAUAUAGGGAUGUCUCCCAUAUGUUAUAUACAAGAGAUCAAUCGUCAAAUAGAAAAGGGAGUUUCUUUGUUUUGAAAGAAAAAAAGAAGGGGGAGAUUCGUAAACGAAAUUGUCGUCUCGUCGAAAUCUUGAAUUUUAUUGCCGUUCUAUCUUGACAUCUUGACACAAGGAAUUUGUUUACCAAAGGAGGAAGAGCAAUGGAAGAUAAUAUGGUGGAAAUUCAAUUAUCAGGACGUAUCUACUAUUGUCAGGAAAUUGCGUUUCAGACUUUAAAAAAAAGGAAGGAUAUGAUUGAAAAUGAUGAAGCGAAGUUUGUUCUCGUGUAAUCGUGGCUUUUUAAACUUCUCUCUUCGUUUGAAAUUUAAUACAAGGCGAGCUGUUUUACGUCUCUACGGUAAAAGGUGACUGUCGGGUAAUGGAGCGUCCUUUAAAGGAUGCGCGCGAGCUUCCAUUUACGUUAAAAGUACUCCAACUUGACGCGUAACGAAAUUCGAUUUUCCGAUAAUUUGUCGCGAAAUGUCGUAAAUAUUCGCGAAUCGAAUUUAAACUGAGAUAUAGUGCAUAUUCGUGUCUAUUAAUAAUGCAACAAAAAAAAAAGAAGAUAAAUUUCCUCUGUCGAUCUUUUGUUCGAACUGUGAUAAAUGAAAUUAAAUGUAGUAUAUUAUAAAAAUUCUUAUACAAAAUAUACGCUUUCUAGUAUUUUCAAUAGUUACAUUCAUUUAAGAGCAUAACUAAUUGAAAUAUCAACAAAAUAUAGGUAUAUAAUUAAUUUUUUAUAUAAUUAAGUUUUAUGCUUUAGAA
Vespula vulgaris is the source of this 3843-nucleotide long non-coding RNA. RefSeq lists it as uncharacterized. NCBI's taxonomy places the organism in Eukaryota, Metazoa, Arthropoda, Insecta, Hymenoptera, Vespidae. The record is from RefSeq and is a predicted model, not a curated record. The transcript is spliced from 3 exons.